GACGAACGCUGGCGGCGUGCCUAAUACAUGCAAGUAGAACGCUGAAGGAGGAGCUUGCUUCUCUGGAUGAGUUGCGAACGGGUGAGUAACGCGUAGGUAACCUGCCUGGUAGCGGGGGAUAACUAUUGGAAACGAUAGCUAAUACCGCAUAAUAGUAGAUGUUGCAUGACAUUUGCUUAAAAGGUGCAAUUGCAUCACUACCAGAUGGACCUGCGUUGUAUUAGCUAGUUGGUGGGGUAACGGCUCACCAAGGCGACGAUACAUAGCCGACCUGAGAGGGGGAUCGGCCACCCUGGGACUGAAACCCGGCCCAAACUCCUGGGGGGGGCAGCAGUGGGGAAUUUUCGGCAAUGGACGGAAGUCUGACCGGGCAACCCCGGGGGGGUGAAAAGGGUUUUCGGAUCGUAAAACUCUUUUGUAAGGGAAAAACGGGGGGGGGAGGGAAAAUUUCCCACUGUGGCGGUAUUUUACCAAAAAGGAACGGCUAACUCCGU
RNAcentral lists this ribosomal RNA (494 nucleotides) under uncultured bacterium. RNAcentral describes it as "partial 16S ribosomal RNA". It matches the Rfam family "Bacterial small subunit ribosomal RNA", at positions 28 to 506 of the family's 1533-position model. The record is from RNAcentral.